This 1475-nucleotide long non-coding RNA is filed under the name Vulpes vulpes (red fox). Its description in RNAcentral is "lncRNA (ENSVVUG00000015469.1)". The record is from RNAcentral. Lineage: Eukaryota; Metazoa; Chordata; Mammalia; Carnivora; Canidae.
ACCAUUUAAAUCUUAGCCUGAAACUCAUUUGGAAGAUGAACUUUUCCUCACCUGACAUGCCAACCAAGGUCACCCAGUUACAGGUGUCAAAGGAACCUCGUAAAAUUCAGGCCACUUGGAAGAACUCAUUCAGGGGCUCUUUUCACCUCCACACUGGACCCCCAUGGGAGAGGGAACUGCAUCUGACUGGCAUCCUGCUGCAUCCCUGCACAACGGGGAAUCAGAAGCAAGCACAGUUGAUACGCAGAUGGCAUUCAAGGUGUAGCCCAAAAUCUGCCUCCUCCAAGAAGUCUUCCCUGAACUCUCCCUACAGCAUUAAGCAGUCUGUCUUUGCUCAGCCGUGCCAUGCCAUCAGUCUCCAUAACUGUCACCCACUCGCCUGGAGUGGCAUCUGUAUACAACUUCUCUUCUCUGCCAGGUUGUAAACUGUUACAUCUUUACUUUGUCUCUUUACUUAUUGACUUAUUGAGGACUUAUUAUGUGCCAGGGACUGUGCUAGGUGCUAAGGUCAAAACAAUAGAUGACACACGUGCCUAUCCUCAGAGUCUGGUGGAGAGAGAGAAAGAUAUGGGUAAGAAAUGACAACAUAGAGGAAAGUGCUACCACAGUGACAUGAACAGAGUAGUUUAAAGACAGAGAAGACAAGGAACAACUAACCACGGGGAAGACUUGGAAGUCUUCAUGGAAAAGAGGAUUAUUUGAAUAGUUUGUAGUAUCUCAUCCAAACAUUCACCACAUUUUUUUUUGUAUAUCAACCAGUAAUAAUCACAAAAUAACACCAACACAUUACUUCUAUAUAUAUUAUUCCAUUUGAUUUUAGUAUAUGUAUGCCGAAGCGAGCACUUAUUAUUCCAUUUGAUCCACACAACGAGCUCAGGAAGAUGGGUGUUAACAUUGUUCUAUUUUUAAGAAGGGAAAAAUUGAGCUUUCUAAAGUUUGGCCCUCUCAGGUCACUAAGUGAGUAAAUGGAUCUAAGUGAAAGUCUUUGAAUUCAAAAGCAUAUGAAUUUUCCACUCUUAGCUUAGCUUCUUGGGGAUUGGCCAUUCAUGCCAAUGGUUUAUCUGGCUUUGAUUUGUCAUCUCUCUGAAAUGCUGCCUUCUACCUCUACCCCUAACCUCCAUACAGUACAGUUUCAGAGGAGAGAUGCCUUAUAUUCCCCCAAUGACUGACCUAAGUUCCCACAACAUCAGAGCACUAGAGCCUACUUAUCUGAGAGAGAGAAUCAGACAAUGUAUUUUAAAAACUAAUGACUCCACCAUUAAACUGUUAGGGAUUUAAAUUUCCUGCUAUAAUUCUCCCAAAGUGUAUCCUAUUAGAACAAUGAAGAUAUGACUAGAAGUAGUGUUAAAUAGGCAAGAACCAAAAAUACAUAUGAAUCAAAAAUGGAUGGAUCCAAAGGAAGCCAAAUACAUUCCAAGGGCAGCAUAUUUACCUACUUUCAAAAAGCAAAUAAAAGUCAGCUACAAUUUAGAACA